RNAcentral lists this long non-coding RNA (898 nucleotides) under Fukomys damarensis (Damara mole-rat). RNAcentral describes it as "lncRNA (ENSFDAG00000031185.1)". Lineage: Eukaryota; Metazoa; Chordata; Mammalia; Rodentia; Bathyergidae. The record is from RNAcentral.
GGUUGAGGGCGGACGAUGACAAGGACAAGUCCUGACCGGGACGAGGAACCCGGCGCAGGCGGGAGCAGCCUGUCCUUACUGGGGGGCCUUCCUGUGCCGUGACAGGUGGAGGAUGCUGGAGCUGAGGGCAGGAGGCAGCUCAGAGCGGCUUCUGGGAGGAGGUGUCACAGCCCCAGGCCAACAUCUGGGCUGCAGAUGCUGGAAGGCUGAUCAGAUGGCCCCACUUGUGACGGCUUCUCCUGCUGUGUCCGGGGGCCUCGUCCCUGUCCUGGGAGGGGUGUGUCGGAGCCUCCAGAGCCCAUACCCUCUUCUCUCCCCAGAGAUCCAGAUGCGAGCCCCGCUGGCCCUCCAGGACAGGGAUGGAGACCUCAGCGUGGACGUGACAGUCCUAGUGGCCCAGCAGCUGAACAGCACGGGGGAGCUGGUGGUGACACCAGCCACACAGGUGCCGGCUCUCCAGGGGCGGGGCCUGUCCUCCCUCAGCCAGCAAAGAGCUGCAGGUCUGAGGGUAGCAACACCUCCCCUCCCUCCUGGGCCGCUGGCCCAGCACAGGGUCUGCUACAGCCAAGGUAACUGUGCCCUGACCAUGCUGGACGAAACGGGCACCCACUGCUCACCCCUGCACGUGUCCUGGGGGCCCGGGGUGGACGAGAGGGUCCGCCCGACUCCCCCCGGCUUCCCCCUGCCUCUGUGUUGUCACCGUGUCACCUCUUCUGCCUUGCUUCUUGGUGGGCACACCACAUCCGGCCCAGGGCCUGGCACAUACAAGCUGCUCAGUGGGGGAGAGAGCGAGCACACAGGCCGCCUGGCUCCUGGCAGGCCCUGCUGUGUGUGCGCUUCCCAGUCUCCCCAGCACUGCACGCUCACGCGGGGAACGUCUCUGCUUCUCUUUGGAUAA